AGAGUUGUAUCCUGGCUCAGGAUGAACGCUGGCGGUAUGCCUUACACAUGCAAGUCGUACGAGAGUUUUUAACUCAAGUGGCGGACGGGUGAGUAACACGUAAGAAUUUACCUUUAGGAGGGGGAUAACAACUGGAAACGGUUGCUAAUACCCCAUAUGCUUUCGAGUGAAAUGGGUUUCCGCCUAAAGAAAAGCUUGCGGCUGAUUAGCUUGUUGGUGAGGUAAUGGCUCACCAAGGCGACGAUCAGUAUCUGGUUUGAGAGGAUGAUCAGACACACUGGAACUGAGACACGGUCCAGACUCCUACGGGAGGCAGCAGUGGGGAAUUUUCCGCAAUGGGCGAAAGCCUGACGGAGCAAUACCGCGUGAGGGAUGACGGCCUAUGGGUUGUAAACCUCUUUUUUCAGGGAGGAAUCAAUGACGUGUACCUGAAGAAUAAGCAUCGGCUAACUCCGUGCCAGCAGCCGCGGUAAGACGGAGGAUGCAAGUGUUAUCCGGAAUCACUGGGCGUAAAGCGUCUGUAGGUGGUCAAAUAAGUCAACUGUUAAAUCUUGAGGCUCAACCUCAAAACCGCAGUCGAAACUAUUAGACUAGA
RNAcentral lists this ribosomal RNA (595 nucleotides) under uncultured cyanobacterium. Its description in RNAcentral is "bacterial SSU rRNA". It matches the Rfam family "Bacterial small subunit ribosomal RNA", at positions 8 to 645 of the family's 1533-position model. The record is from RNAcentral. Lineage: Bacteria; Bacillati; Cyanobacteriota.